RNA transcript from Manis pentadactyla (Chinese pangolin), 1567 nucleotides. It is a transcript of the gene named rabphilin-3A-like, with no coding region annotated. NCBI's taxonomy places the organism in Eukaryota, Metazoa, Chordata, Mammalia, Pholidota, Manidae. The transcript is spliced from 3 exons. The record is from RefSeq and is a predicted model, not a curated record.
AGUCAAGGUCCUUACCUACCCGUGCGUGGGAGAGGCGCGCAGCGUGGGGCGCCAUGGUAGUGUCGAGGGGUGACUUGUCAGAAGUUCCCCUAUAAUAUAAUCGCCACUAGCCCUCACUGAGCCAAGCCUCAUAAACAGGCAGCCUAAAUAAAAACUGCGUUUGCGGUGCAAACGCCGCCUCAGGCUGAGUCCCGAGCCCUUCCGGGUUCCAGCUGAACACCAUCGCUUGUCCCCUUCCAAGGAGAGAUUUCCAAACGACAUGCUUCGGGCCUCUUCCCCCGACUCCUCAGGGGACAUCCCCAACCGGGGGCCCCGCCACAUCCGUCCUUUCCGCUGCGGAGCCGGUAUCCCAGCUUCAAGGUUGGCCUGCGCGCGGUCAUCGGGACGCGGGAGGCGCUGGCUCCGGCGGCACUGCUCUGGGCGGUCCUCUCCGGGUAGCCAGAGACCCAGGUCUCAGCCUCGCUGCGCCCCGGAAGCUGGAGGCUCCCAGGCCGCCGUGCACCUCUGGGGUGCGGGGAGCGAGGCUUUGGGCCAGGCUAUUCCCCGAGGCUGGAUUCGGUGUCAGUUAGCCAUGGCCCCCUGAGACCCAGUGGGGUCCUUUUUCAGAAAGGAGCCUAGAUGAAGGCAGGAUUUGAGAGGAGAAGGGAAGAAGGUGAGAAGCUGACGCCCCAGGGUCAUUAUGAGUUGACUGGGUGCCCCUUUCCGGGAACCCCACAGGACCAAGAGUGGCCCCGAUCUCCUGCCGCAGGAGAUAAACGACUUAGAGCUCGCACCUCCGAGCCUUCAGGCCCUGUUCUGCGGAGCGCGUCACCGCCCCCCAGGAGGAGCGAGAGCAGGUGGACCUUUGCGUCACGAUGCAUGGGUGACGGACCCGCCCCCGGAUCUCCUGCUCGCACGUUGGGGUCAGGGGCCCUCAGGAGGAAGUCCCGCUCCAAACCUGGACCUCCGCCCCGCCCCAGCUCCCGCGGGGCCCACGGGGACAGUCGGAAUCACAGCAGCUUUGAGGCACAGAAACUGCAGCGUAUGGCGGGGCCUGGGAAACCUCAGACCCGGGCAGUUGUGGGACUUCCAGGGCAGCAGUUUCAACUAGGCCCGAGAAAAUGUCCCGCAGCGGCUGGAAUCUAAGUUAGAACGGGCCGAUCAGGAAGGGCGAGCUCUCCAUCCGCAGGGGCAUGCAAGCCAGGGCUGAACGUUCACUUGGAAGGGAUGUAGGCAGGGGUCUGCACGUUGGAGCCAAGGGGCCUGCGAACCCCGCAUUUGCGAAGGGUGAAGAUGGGGCUGUUCUGCGACCCCUCGAAGGCGCUGGCCCCCCAACCUCACUGCACUGUCGGCAGCCAGAGAAGACUCCGAUUUACUUCGCUCGCGUCAGUGAAGGAAGAGCGCGGGAAAGGCCCACAUCCCUUCGCGUCAGGCCCCUCCUUCUCCCCGGCUCCCCCUGCAGCACUUAACAUGUAAAUGUACACGGUGAUUAGCCGCCAGGCCGCUAAUUACGGCUCAAGCCGUUCUUUACGGUGUCAGCGCGCAUCGUGCCACGUGGGCUGCGCGCUGCAGCGGGGCCGCGAACUGG